Molecule: non-coding RNA, 46 nt
Filed under: Schistosoma margrebowiei
Lineage: Eukaryota; Metazoa; Platyhelminthes; Trematoda; Strigeidida; Schistosomatidae
Source: RNAcentral
GUGUUGAUGGGGAGUCCCACAAUAGGACGAAACGGCCGUCCAAUGC